AACGAACGCUGGCGGCAUGCCUAACACAUGCAAGUCGAACGAGACCUUCGGGUCUAGUGGCGCACGGGUGCGUAACGCGUGGGAACCUGCCCUUAGGUUCGGAAUAACUCCCCGAAAGGGGUGCUAAUACCGGAUAAUGUCUUCGGACCAAAGAUUCAUCGCCUUUGGAUGGGCCCGCGUUGGAUUAGCUAGUUGGUAGGGUAAAAGCCUACCAAGGCGACGAUGCAUAGCUGGUCUGAGAGGAUGAUCAGCCACACUGGGACUGAGACACGGCCCAGACUCCUACGGGAGGCAGCAGUGUGGAAUAUUGGACCAUGGGCGAAAGCCUGAUCCAGCACUGCCGCGUGAAUGAUGAAGGCCUUAGGGUUGUAAAGCUCUUUUACCCGGGAUGAUAAUGACAGUACCGGGAGAAUAAGCACCGGCUAACUCCGUG
This 433-nucleotide ribosomal RNA is filed under the name uncultured bacterium. RNAcentral's name for it is "partial 16S ribosomal RNA". It matches the Rfam family "Bacterial small subunit ribosomal RNA", at positions 29 to 507 of the family's 1533-position model. The record is from RNAcentral.